AUUAUUCAGACAAACCAAGUCUGUCCAAAGAUGUGCAUAUGUAUGAAAAGCUACAAAUGAAGACUUCCACUCCAGGUACAAGAAAGGAAUUGUCCAGCAGUACACAGACAUUUAGAGGUUCAGCAAUGAAAGUUAAAUAGAGAAGAGCUCUCUUAGCGAGGAGUAGAAUGAAAACCAAAAAGAAAUUGUAGAAUGUAAUAUGCCCAACAUGCUGCAACAUCACGAGUUCUAGUAGGGUUUAGUGUGGUAGUGUAGUCUAAUUAAUACUCAACUCCUUGGUCUUGAAAAGGAAGUGGCUCACAUAGUGUUUGGGACCAUUGAGAAUUCUACUUUCUUUUUCUUCCAAAAUUUUAAUAACGAUGACUAUGUGCUCAAAUAUCCACUUCCUUUUAACCAAGGGGAUAAGGCCAGGGCCUAAAACUAAGCAAUCCUUUCUUUACAUAUGCAUUUUCCUUUUAUUUUUGUAUGGCUACUCUUGCUUCUUUGCUUAAGUCAUCAUGGUAUAGUGCAAAUGCUUUCAUGAGAACACAAUGGUUCAUCUGUUUUUUAUAUUAAAAAAAAAAAAAAAAAAAAAAAAAACUUCAAAUGAAAUACAGAUCAUACUUUUUACUGCUCUAAAAGUCUAUUGAGAUUUGACCGAUCAAACAAAAGCUAAAUUUUGUUCUUGUAGAUACCACUAUUUUAUUUCUCAACAAAGCAUCUAAUCAUACUAACACAGACAUUUAGAGGUUCAACAAUGAAAGUUUAAUAGAGAAGAGCUCUCUUAGCGAGGAGUAGAAUGAAAACGAAAAAGAAAUUGUAGAAUGUAAUAUGUCCAACAUGCUGCAACAUCACGAGUUCUACUAGGGUUUAAUGUGGUAGUAUAGUCUAAUUAAUACUCAACUCCUUGGUCUUUAAAAGGUAGUGGCUCACAUAGUGUUUGAGACCAUUGAGAAUUCUACUUUCUUUUUCUUCCAAAAUUUUAAUAACGAUGAC
Molecule: long non-coding RNA, 975 nt
Filed under: Aquilegia coerulea
Lineage: Eukaryota; Viridiplantae; Streptophyta; Magnoliopsida; Ranunculales; Ranunculaceae
Description: long non-coding RNA (ACOE_LNC002270)
Source: RNAcentral